This 253-nucleotide ribosomal RNA is filed under the name uncultured bacterium. RNAcentral's name for it is "partial 16S ribosomal RNA". It matches the Rfam family "Bacterial small subunit ribosomal RNA", at positions 524 to 776 of the family's 1533-position model. The record is from RNAcentral.
UACGGGGGGAGCAAGCGUUGUUCGGAAUUACUGGGCGUAAAGGGCGCGUAGGCGGCCUUCUAAGUCAGACGUGAAAUCCCUCGGCUCAACCGGGGAACUGCGUCUGAGACUGGAAGGCUUGAAUCCGGGAGAGGGAUGUGGAAUUCCAGGUGUAGCGGUGAAAUGCGUAGAUAUCUGGAGGAACACCGGUGGCGAAGGCGGCAUCCUGGACCGGUAUUGACGCUGAGGCGCGAAAGCCAGGGGAGCAAACGGG